GUCUCAAAGAUUAAGCCAUGCAUGUCUAAGUAUAAGCAACUAUACUGUGAAACUGCGAAUGGCUCAUUAAAUCAGUUAUCGUUUAUUUGAUAGUACCUUUACCUGGAUAACCGUGGUAAUUCUAGAGCUAAUACAUGCUAAAAACCUCGACUUCGGAAGGGGUGUAUUUAUUAGAUAAAAAACCAAUGCCCUUCGGGGCUCCUUGGUGAAUCAUAAUAACUUAACGAAUCGCAUGGCCUUGCGCCGGCGAUGGUUCAUUCAAAUUUCUGCCCUAUCAACUUUCGAUGGUAAGAUAGAGGCUUACCAUGGUCUUAACGGGUAACGGGGAAUUAGGGUUCUAUUCCGGAGAGGGAGCCUGAGAAACGGCUACCACAUCCAAGGAAGGCAGCAGGCGCGCAAAUUACCCAAUCCCGACACGGGGAGGUAGUGACAAUAAAUACUGAUACGGGGCUCUUUUGGGUCUCGUAAUUGGAAUGAGUACAAUCUAAAUCCCUUAACGAGGAACAAUUGGAGGGCAAGUCUGGUGCCAGCAGCCGCGGUAAUUCCAGCUCCAAUAGCGUAUAUUAAAGUUGUUGCCGUUAAAAAGCUCGUAGUUGAACCUUGGGCCUGGCUGACCUGUCCUCCUAAUCGAGCGCACGGGUUCGGUCGGGCCUUUCCUUCUAGGGAACCCCAUGCCCUUCACUGGGUGUGGUGGGGAACUAGGAC
This 705-nucleotide ribosomal RNA is filed under the name Chaetothyriales sp. Its description in RNAcentral is "SSU rRNA". It matches the Rfam family "Eukaryotic small subunit ribosomal RNA", at positions 34 to 748 of the family's 1831-position model. RNAcentral also lists the same sequence under 1 other name. The record is from RNAcentral. Lineage: Eukaryota; Fungi; Ascomycota; Eurotiomycetes; Chaetothyriales.